GCAGUAGUAUUUAGUACAUAAUGUCCACAUUGGCAAACAUAGCAGUAGGUGAAAAAUUGCAUUUGCUGGGAAGUUGUGCGCGGUGUGCUGCCGUGUUAAACGACGGGCAGGGCAUGGUGAUGCCCCUGGACAGCACAUCACCCCAACAACUCAACAUCCCCAGCUGCAAGAAGGCCCGAUAGCUGCAUGAGCAGUAGACAACGCUAACGGAAAGGAAACGCUAUCAUUAGAGUCAUUUGUCUCGUACGUGUCUAGCCUCCAUUAUUAACGCAGGCCCGGUACGAGCCCUCAUUGCUGCCCUCAUUACUCCCGCUGGGGCCCCUAUUAGCCCUAUCAGCCGGGGUAAUGCAGGCAGCAGGGGGCAGGGGGCAGGGGGCAGGACCCCGGCGGCCUAAGGCACGAAUAUCCGGGGGGUGGUUAUGGGUGCACCGAGGGGGUGCGGCAAAUCAGACCGAUAACUGGUGACAAUUAUACGUCGUAAUCGUGCUAUUGACUCACCGAUGAACGUCGUACUGGCUAAUUAAUUGGCUAGCACCACACAUCACACGGUGCAGGUGGUGCAGAUAUAUAAAUUCGAUGCGAGAGGCCUCCUAUUCCUAUUCCACCCGACCCCGAACAACUACCAAGUGACAAGGUACGAUACCUGCCUCCACAAGGCCCCUCCGCACCGCCGUAUGACCCACCCGAGCCAGGCCGGACCAGGUUUUUAUGAAGUAAUAUAUUACUAAAAAGGAAUAAACAAGCAUUGAAAGCAUGGGAACGAGUAAAGUUAACGACUUAACAACUAAGUCAGGCGGCUGGCAGAGGUUAAGGCCUGGCUUCUGCUCCCGUCGCGUCCCAGCGCGUCCGGGUUCAAAUCCGCCUGCCAACCUCUCGGGGUGUUCGAGAGGUGAUGAAAUGGGAGGUGGCCCCCCAUCUUGUGGACGGUGUAGGACGAGAUAAAAUCAACUCGCGAGCUGACCAGGAACUAAGUUGACGCGCCGUUGAUCCGCUAGAUUUGGUUGGAUGCUGGUGGUGAGUUGCCGAACCCAACGAAUACAUUCUGAAGUCGGAUGGGGUGACGGAUUAGGGUGCCCCUCUAGCAGGGGAGAGCAGGGAACUGCCUCGGGAAGGAGGCCACUGGUGAAGCUUAACCACCCUGUAACAACAUCAACAACAUCAACUAACAAGAAAACCUAACAGGCAUUUUGGCCUUUGGAAAAAAGGAAUAAAUUGAGGCCGACCCGUACAUUUUCAUUCCUUCAGCCCAAAACGUCCAUUGCUGCCAGAUUGCUCCGUAGUUUGCAGAACUUUGUAUUUUCAAUCAUUGAAAUAUAUACGAGGGGCCGUAAGAAGGUCAAGACCGUGAGACAACGCGGCAUAGCCAAACACGCACGCACAAGUCAAUGACCGGACACACGAACGAAAAAACGCGCCAAACUCAGUGCAUGACUCUUGGUUUUUGUACAUAUCGGGGGGGGGGCGGGCGGGGGGGGCCGGAGCCCACCCCAGCGCCUCACAAUUAAGGAAUAAAUUAAGACAACCUGUUGUUAGUUAGGUUGGAAUAAUUGAGACCCGUCCUAAACGAAAAAAAGCCUGGGCCGGACCCCACCCGACCGACCCGUCCCUUGGGGCGGAACGCGAAAGAAUACGGGUCGAGCCGGUCGAGUCAAGCCGGUGUUGAGCCGAGCACUUCGGUUUAAGGUAAGCCGACGGAUACGUUUCUGUGUGCGACGUCUAAGUGUGAACGGCAUUCCGACUCCAGCAUUUUUACUUUAAAUAAGAUACAUCUGACAUGCAAGCCAAAAAUAACAUGUGAUGCGCGACGCAAAAUAAAGGAGACGAACGACCCUGAUGAGGUAAGAGCGAGUUAUUUAAACCCCGGAUCUAUCUGGCCUGGUCACCCAACGCACGGAGCCCCGGUGCAGAGUCCGCAUCCAAGCAUACCGGGUUCAAAUCCGCCUGCCAGCUCCUCGGGUGUUUGAGGAGUGUUGAAAUAGGAGGUGGCCCCCCAUCUUUUGGCGAUCAAUGCGGAUGUGACCGCCUUGAGCCGCACAAACAGCUCAAUGUGCCUCGCAAACUCCAGUCCCUCGGCAAAACGGAAGGGGACAAUGACACCUGGGUCGGCCGCGACUCGCCGUGUCACAGCAACUCGCAGUGCGGCAGCAUCGGCUGAACACUUCAAUUGGUGAUUUCUGUUAGGGGCCUGACACACGGCACACGGCCGUUCAGCUGAGGAGGAGAAACUGCAGACAACGGACCAGAUGGAGUCAAUUUCGCCAUAGUAUGCCGGAAGCUGGUUUUCCUGGAAGAAUGUAGCCGCCUGUGGCGCCAUGUCAGGAUUCCCAUGUGGGUCAACAUUUGUCAGGUGGACCAGAUAUUGGGAGGUGCGUGACGAGCUAUCAGACCCUAUUAGUACCAUAUUAAGUGGAACAAUCGACAUACAGAAUUCCCUCAACACACUAUGCAGCCGGCUGGCAGAGGUUAAGGCCUGAUUUCUGCUCCCGGAGUGUCCGGAUUCAAAUCCGUCUGCUGGCUCCUCGGGUGUUUGAGAAGUGUUGAAAUGGGAGGUGGCCCCCCAUCUUAUGGACGGUGUAGGACGUGCUAAUAUCAACUUGCGAGCUGACCAGGAACUAAGUUGAGGCGCCGUUGAUCCGCUAGAUUUGGUUGGAUGCUGGUGGUGAGUUGCCGAACCCAACGAAUACAUUCUGAAGUUGGAUGGGGUGACAGGAUUAGGGUGCCCCUCUCGCAGAGGAGAGCAGGGAACUGCCUCGAGAAAGGGGGCCGCUG
Molecule: long non-coding RNA, 2769 nt
Filed under: Volvox carteri
Lineage: Eukaryota; Viridiplantae; Chlorophyta; Chlorophyceae; Chlamydomonadales; Volvocaceae
Description: long non-coding RNA (VCAR_LNC003708)
Source: RNAcentral